AGUGAACGCUGGCGGUAGGCCUAACACAUGCAAGUCGAACGGCAGCACAGUAAGAGCUUGCUCUUACUGGUGGCGAGUGGCGGACGGGUUAGGAAUACAUCGGAAUCUACUUUUUCGUGGGGGAUAACGUAGGGAAACUUACGCUAAUACCGCAUACGACCUACGGGUGAAAGCAGGGGAUCUUCGGACCUUGCGCGAUUGAAUGAGCCGAUGUCGGAUUAGCUAGUUGGCGGGGUAAAGGCCCACCAAGGCGACGAUCCGUAGCUGGUCUGAGAGGAUGAUCAGCCACACUGGAACUGAGACACGGUCCAGACUCCUACGGGAGGCAGCAGUGGGGAAUAUUGGACAAUGGGCGCAAGCCUGAUCCAGCCAUGCCGCGUGGGUGAAGAAGGCCUUCGGGUUGUAAAGCGCUUUUGUUGGGAAAGAAAAGCAGCAGGUUAAUACCCCGCUGUUCUGACGGUACCCAAAGAAUAAGCACCGGCUAACUUCGUG
Molecule: ribosomal RNA, 492 nt
Filed under: uncultured bacterium
Lineage: Bacteria
Description: partial 16S ribosomal RNA
Rfam family: Bacterial small subunit ribosomal RNA
Source: RNAcentral